CAUUCGUGCACUUACUCAUCUUAGCCUUACAAGGCCCUGCUAACUUCCUGGAGGCAGAGAAAUAAUGGAGUUGACUCCCUUCCGGGGCCUCCAGAGGGAUCUGUAAAUAAUACUUGCUCAAAAAAUGUUUUGGAGUUACCAACAAUUCAGAAAAGUUGAGCUUGUCUUGCUUGAGUCACAAUGUACUCAUUGUCCCUGUGAGGGACCCAGGAAAGAUGGGGACUAGGGCCCAGCUGGUGGCUCAGUCCCCCUACAGGGACCAUUUAGACCAGCUGAGGACAGAGUAAGAACUGCUGUGAGGAAGGCAUCUCAGAGGAGGAAGGAAGGCAUGUGUUGGUCUAAGGAACAUUGACCCCUUGCCAUCUUACCAUUCAGACGCUGGCAGGAGACUUUGGAUCUCAUCUAAGAUCCCUGGUACGUGAAGCUGGCCCCUGGAGGAAAUGCAUCAAUUUACAAAAGGCACCGAGAGCCUCUGGGAGGGAAGAAAAUAUCCAGCCACUUCCUGAGAUGUAAAGGGAAGGAGAUCUGUUGGCGCGGAGGGGGCUGGCCACAAUAAAGACCUUGGACCAAGGGCUUCUGAAAUGAAAUUUGAAAUUAUGUUGAGGAAAACAGGAGUCUGGGGUGGUGACAGUUUUCCGGCGAGGGCCCCCGUAUGUUUCCCGGGGCAAGGCUGACUUUAGCGCAGAGUAAGGUGGCUGUGUCAGUUCUAGAGACUCAGCCGCACCGACUGCCUGUGCUCUCGGCUGGGACUGUGGUGAUUUCUGCACAGGACUGUCACCUAGAAAUGAGUCCAAGUGGUGGCCCCAGGCGCCCCUUGACUUUGAGGAAUGGUGCUGUUUUCUGGUAGCCUCGGCUGGACUCUGAGGCGUCCAAGUGUCCUCAACAGUGACGUGGCAGUGCUAUGCAGACCCCAACCCCUAUUUUGUUUUUUAAACAAUUCAAGCAGAAGGUGAAGUUCUCUCAAGGGAGGAACUGGAUGUGGUAUGUAAAUUCUUACUUGAUUAAUAGAAAAAAUUACAAGUGGCCUUUGUGCUCUGUGCUCAGGGGACAGUUCAUACAGCUGCAUUCCCAGUGACCAGAGAAGCCCGUGCCUGCCCAUCACCAGCGCAUGUGUGGAGGGCCUCCAGCAGCUUUCAUUUAUCCUGCAAACAUCAUAGUCUCCACAGGAGAGAAGGUGGCUGGAUCACGGAUGUGGCAGGAGAGUGAGGAAUGGAAGGUGGGACCGCUGGUGAGAAAAGGGGCAGGGGACCUCAGAGGACAGGAGGAUUCAAAUGGAGGAGAGGAUCCUGGUGAAUUCAGCAGACUGAACUGCUUGAUUGAUUGGUUGCCUCUUCAGCAAAAAUUCCCUGGCUCCUAAUCUGUGCCAGGCAUGGAGGUGGGGGCUGGAGAACGUGGUGUGAAUGGACCGGCCUGGCCUGGCCUUGCCCAGCUCUCAGACUCAUGGGCCGGCUACACAAUACAGUGUGCUCAGAAUCCUGGGAGGGGUCUGCAGGCGCUGCACCAGCAUAAAUGCCCCGAGAAGCAGCCCAGGGGGCAGGAGACACCAGUCCUGAGGCUUCCCUGAGCCCAUCAGCGGCUGCCUUCAGUGUCUCCUUGCUCGCGGUUGCUGCCCGUUCAGUCACUGCCUGUGGGAGUGCCUGUGCUGUCUCCCCUGCCCCUCCCAACCUCUGGGCACCGAGUCUCGUGGCUGUCAGGGCUGAGGGUGGAGGAGCUGCUGGCACAGGCGCAGGGGAGCUGCCAAUGCCAUGGCCUCAGGGUGAGAGCUGACGUCUGUCCUGGAGCAUCUCUAUCCUUGCCAAGGGUUGAGAUCCCUGGGCUGCAUGCCUUCCCUCUGACACAGGAGCCGGCAUCCGUCCCUCACAGAGCCGGCCGCUGCCUGGACCCCAGCCUCACCCCAGAGAGGCCUGGCGACAGUUGCAGCGUUGUGGCGAGCACAAGGCCCCACUUGUGCCUCCCUCCAGAUCCCAGGCCAGGUGAAUGCCCACCUCAGGGAAGACCCGAUACAAGGGGCCCAAGAACCCCACGCUCCAAGUCUUGGCUUUGAAAACAAUGGGGAAGCCACCCCACUGGCCCAGACCUAGUGGUGGUGUCCUGGACCUGGUAAGAGUGGAGGCCUGACUCCAUCACAGCUCAUGGUGGGUGUCACAGCCUCCUUCCCUCCUCCCCUCAUGCACCCCACAAACAGUUAUUCAGUUACUGCCAUAUGCCAGCUUCUGAGCUGGGUCCUGGCUGCAGUGGUGAGUAAAACAGACACAGACCCUGUCCUCAUGUUGCUUUCACUCUUUUCACUGGAAUUUCCAGUAAGAAAUAUAUUUUCCAUCACUACCCAGGGUCUCUAUAUAUCUGAAAUAAUAGUUUCACAAAACAACACUCAUCCUUACCACCUGGGAGACACUGCUAUUUUAAAUUCUAAUAUUAUUUUUUAAAAAGCUGGUCAUGGCACAGUACACUGGGAUGUGACCUGCCUUUGAAAGCCCUGGUCUAAUUGGGGAAAGAUGAUUAAGCAAGUGUCACAGAAGUGUCCCUGCUCCAGUUUUGACCAAGGGACCAAAUACCAAGGGUUUCAGGAUUCCAAACCAUGUGUCUCUCACAUGCAGAUGGUUUACAAGGGAAAUGUGGACACUGAGGCCUGCAAUCACGUGAAGGAUAUAAAAAGGGGUACAAGAGAGCGGAGGGCUGAGGGAGCCUGUGAGCGGGUUUCUUUGGAGAGAACUGUGUAUGUUGUUUCUAGGACCUGUGGCCUUCCCUUGGGGGAGGGUUGUGUGUGUGGUGUGCCAUCUUCUAACCCAGGCCUGCUGAGGGGGCUUCCAGGGCCUUCUUGGAGAGCUUUGAGAUGUUGGAGGCUCAAGUGGAUGGGUCACAGGACUCCUGACUCCUGCCCUGGGACCUGGAGGGAGGGUGGCGGCUGCUGCUUGAGUGGUGGCUGUGGAGCACGCUCCUGCCAGGGCAUGGCUGUACCCAGAGUGGGUGGGGCAAGUGCUCUGAGUGCUUCCCGAGGACCAGAGGUGGCAGGAGGAGAGAGGGCAGGUGUGUGCCACCACGACAGGGCCACCUGGAGAGUCACAGGGCUUGGCAGGAAGUGACUAGGGGUGGAACCAUAGGUGCCCAUGGGCAAAGGAAGGGAUCACAGGGCCACCCGGAAGGAAGUUCAUCUCCUGGGCUGAGGAAACUGCAGGGAGAAGGCCCAGCAGGGAGUCUCCAAAAGCCCACAGAUAAGCAUCUGAGAGUCCCUGCUGGUCGCCUGCCUGGCGCGGGGAGGAGGAGCCACUCAGCCACCCCAUCUCCGCGUGUUCUUGGGACUGGACACUCUCAGGACGAGGCCGAGACCGUUUACAGUCUAGAGGGACUGUAGGCUGCUGUUUCACCCAGGACUGAGCUGAAAAGCCACAGGAGGAGCCCGGUUUUCAUCCAGGGCCAGGGAAGAUUACCUCCACUGAAUAAAGCUGUGAGGGCCGGGGAGAGACAAAAAUAAAGGUUGGAUUCGAUGACACUGGGCGUCAUGUUUGUUCACAUACCAGCUUUGCAGGUAUUUGCAAUGAGGAGCGUUAAGUGCUGUGACAAGGGAAGUACCAAGAGUGGGGACAAGUGACGGAGAAGGGGGUUGGGCGGUGGUCAGGGAGGGCUCCCAGAAGAGGUGACAUGAAGGCCUGAAGGCUGAGUGGAAAGAAGAAUAGUGUUCUGGGUGUCGAGAACAGCAGUUGGCAAGGCUGAGAGGAGGAAGAGCCUGGGACCUUUGAGGGGUUAGAGAGAUGUGGUUACAGAAGUUGGCAUGCUGGAGGCCCUGGGAGGGGUUUGCCUUGAUCCUGAGACAACAGGAAGCCAUUGAAAGGUUUUAUCCAGGAGGCAAUGAUCAUGGGUUAAAAUACUCAGGUAGCUGAGUAGUUUGGAAUGCAUGAGGUUAGAGGAAGGGAAGCCAGUGAGGAGCUGCUCUGGUGCUUUCCAUGAGGCAAGAUGCUGGCCUCAACCAAGGAAGCAGCAGCAAGAUGGAACCAGGUGGUGGGGCUUGAAAGAUGCUGAGAAGGUAGCAUCAACAGGGCGUGGACUGGGCACACGGGUGAAGGAAAGCCUGCGGUUGAAGAUGGCAUCUGUGGGGGUACCUUCACCAAUAGGUUUGAG
This 4116-nucleotide long non-coding RNA is filed under the name Equus caballus (horse). Its description in RNAcentral is "lncRNA (ENSECAG00000059245.1)". The record is from RNAcentral. Lineage: Eukaryota; Metazoa; Chordata; Mammalia; Perissodactyla; Equidae.